UCAAUAAGCGGAGGAAAAGAAACCAACAGGGAUUGCCUUAGUAACGGCGAGUGAAGCGGCAACAGCUCAAAUUUGAAAUCUGGCCCUCGGGUCCGAAUUGUAAUUUGUAGAGGAUGAUUUUGGUGCGGUAUCUUCCGAGUUCCUUGGAACAGGACGCCUUAGAGGGUGAGAGCCCCGUACGGUUGAAUGCCUAGCCUCUGUAAAUCUCCUUCGACGAGUCGAGUAGUUUGGGAAUGCUGCUCUAAAUGGGAGGUAAAUUUCUUCUAAAGCUAAAUAUUGGCCAGAGACCGAUAGCGCACAAGUAGAGUGAUCGAAAGAUGAAAAGCACUUUGAAAAGAGGGUUAAAUAGCACGUGAAAUUGUUGAAAGGGAAGGAUUUGUGACCAGACUUUUUCUGGGCGGAUCAUCCGGGGUUCUCUCCGGUGCACUUUGCCCAGUAAAGGCCAGCAUCGAUUUUCGGCGGCGGAUAAAAGCAGUGGGAAUGUGGCUCCCUACGGGGAGUGUUAUAGCCCAUUGUAUAAUACGCUGCUGGGGAUCGAGGUACGCGCUUCUGCAAGGAUGCUGGCGUAAUGGUUAUCAAUCACCCGUCUUGAAACACGGACCAAGGAGUCGAACAUUUAUGCGAGUGUUUGGGUGUUAAACCCUCACGCGUAAUGAAAGUGAACGGAGGUGAGAGCCCGUACGGGUGCAUCAUCGACCGAUCCUGAAGUUUUCGGAUGGAUUUGAGUAAGAGCAUAACUGUUCGGACCCGAAAGAUGGUGAACUAUGCGUGGAUAGGGUGAAGCCAGAGGAAACUCUGGUGGAGGCUCGCAGCGGUUCUGACGUGCAAAUCGAUCGUCAAAUCUGCGCAUGGGGGCGAAAGACUAAUCGAACCAUCUAGUAGCUGGUU
RNAcentral lists this ribosomal RNA (888 nucleotides) under Pestalotiopsis portugallica. RNAcentral's name for it is "LSU rRNA". It matches the Rfam family "Eukaryotic large subunit ribosomal RNA", at positions 43 to 956 of the family's 3401-position model. Lineage: Eukaryota; Fungi; Ascomycota; Sordariomycetes; Amphisphaeriales; Sporocadaceae. The record is from RNAcentral.